Mustela erminea (ermine) is the source of this 2516-nucleotide long non-coding RNA. RefSeq lists it as uncharacterized. The record is from RefSeq and is a predicted model, not a curated record. The transcript is spliced from 3 exons. NCBI's taxonomy places the organism in Eukaryota, Metazoa, Chordata, Mammalia, Carnivora, Mustelidae.
AUCAUCUGUUGUUGGAAACAAAUCGUUAUUAUCUCACCGUUUCUGUGGGUCGGGAGCCCAGGCAUGGCUUCGGUGGGUGCUUAGAGUUAAAGGUGGAGAAAUUCACGAAGUUCAUGAAACUGGAGUCAAGUUGAGUCGAUCCACUUCCACGUUUGCUUUCAUGGCUGUCAGCAAGCCAUGGUGCCAACAUUCAUUCCUCAUGACGGGGAUCCUCCUCAGGCCGCCUGAGAACGCUCACGGCCUGGCAGCCAAUCACCCAAGACACAGCCCAGGAGCACGAAGUCAGAGGCACCAUCCUUAGACAAUCUCACCUCGGAGAAGACACUCUACCACUUUUAUCACCUUCUACUCAUGAGAAGUGAGUUACUAGGUGGACAGAGACAGGGUACCAUUUUACAGAGAUGGACCUGACACAAGAAGUGGCCAAAGGUUAAUCACCAAGCAAAUCCAGAAGCUGAAACUUGGGUCUCCCAGCCUUCAGCUAGGCACUCUUCACAUUCUGUAUGGCCCUACAGACACACACUUUUCAAACUGCAUUUCCAUGCACACACAGAAUUAAGGACAUUGUUUUGUUUCCCUUUGCCUUCUCCAUGCUGAGCAUUUGCCAACAUUACAUCACUACAAUGGUGGUUUGAAUAACACACAAAAGCCCAUCACAACACCUGGGGAAACUCUCCUGAAAGUUGCACAAGCAUCGUGCCAUCCUCUGGCGAUCAAGAGUUAAGUAACAUGCCCAGAACCAGCCCUGGAGGGGAAGGACGAAGCCAUCUUACUUACAGGUGGAAAGAAUCAUGGCUGUGACUCUGCAGGGAGCACACCAAACAGCCUUCAGUUCUUCAGCGACGCUCCAGUCACAAAAACACAUCUUUUAACUGAAAUCAUAGCUCGCCCGAGGUGUUUCUCACGAGCAGAGUUAACCCCACCUAUUUUCCUGUUCUAAAAACCUCAGAGAAGUGUGUGAAUGACAACCCAAUGGCCUAUAUAAGCAAGCUCCGUAAUCUCCAUCCAGAUCUCUGAGGGCGGCUGCCCUUGGUUCCUCAUUCCAAACUGUGUGGGUGACUCCAGCAAACGCCAGUUUCAAGAAGUCACAAAAUUUUCAUGCAAGAGACCUCAAAAAUCAUUUAAUCAAACUGCCCUCUCUGGACAGAGAAGGAAACCGACCCACAGAUAGGACGAGGGACACAGUGGUAGAAGCAGAAUUCGAUUCUAGGUAUUGGAGUAUAAAGUCUAGAAUGUUCUGUCCUCCUACUCAGGACUGACACUUCAAGGACCAUAUUAUGGAAACUUCAUUUUUUUUUUCCUGUGGGGAUAGAAAGCCAAUUCAAUAAUAUACCUCAAAGGUGACUGAGCCCUGGCUGAGAAAUACAAAUGCAACAUAGAUUUUUUUAAAAAAUGUACCUAGGAGUUUCACGUCAUCCCUUUGGAAAAUAUAAUCAAAAAUCAAAACUAAAGGGAACAAUUCUAAUGGGCACAUAGCAUGUGCACGUUGCCCUUCCUACUUCCUGCUUUAUAGAUUAAGAUCUCUUGAAGCGUUCUGGGUGGAUUCUUCUAUUUUUACUUCACUUUUUGCCUUCCUUGUGCUUUUGUACAAAGCCUUCUGCUACAUUUGGGUGAAAAAUGUAAAGAUUCUUUUGAAGGAGAUGUUCCCAAAUGUUGCCAGGGAGCAACCGUCUUGUUCUCCACAUUAGAAGUGCGCGCAACGAUGAGUACAAGAACUGUACUUGGUCCUCACGUUUCUUCAGCACCCCCAGCACUUGGAAUACGGCUGCUCCAGGAGGAGAAGGAAAGAUAGAAGAUAGCUUUCCGUGGAUGGACAGACCAGAAGGAAAGAGAUGGUUCUCCAGGGUCCUAGGGAGGCACCGCUCAGGGCAGCCAGCUGGACAGCUCUGCGUUCCCACGGCACCUGUGGCCCGGGGGACACCAUGGUAGUGCCCAGAGCAGCUUCAACUCCUACAGUAAGGCCCUGUGUUGUAUGUGCCUCAGCUUUCUACCCUCAUAUUAUCAAAAACAUAAAACUCCAAAAACAAAAAAAGGUGUGCGGCAAUACAUGGCCUGUCAUAUCGAUAACAGAGACUGUUUCUUCUGGGCUCAUGAGAAAUGAAGUUUCCAGCUCAGCCUGGUGUCUUGGUCAGAGAUCGUCAGAACGGUCAGAAACGCACUCAAAUAAACUUGAACAUAGGGUCUACCGUGAGGCUCUUCCAAACAAUCUCACGGAUCCAGGAACCCAAGUCCAACCAGAUCUCCAGAACCCCAUCUGGAGACAGCUCUACACACCAGGCUCUCCAUUUGUCCUGGUCUCUGCCAGAAUUUGCGCUUGCCCCUGGGUCUUGCUUGCAGUGGGGGCGGGCUCUGUUGUGAAUGUCACCUCACCAUUCUGCCCCAGAGCCCAGCACCCUCACUCACAGCAUCUGUGUCUUGGGGCAGAUUCUGAAGAUGUAGAAAGUCAUUAAUGGCUUCUAGUUCAAUCUUUUUUAUUAUUAUUUAUUUAUUUGAGAGCAAGAGAUAGAAAAGUAUGA